UGGAAGUAAGCGGAUUCGAACCGCUGACAUUUGCCGUGCAAGGACAACACUCUACCAACUGAGUUAUACUCCC
Molecule: transfer RNA, 73 nt
Filed under: Prasiola crispa
Lineage: Eukaryota; Viridiplantae; Chlorophyta; Trebouxiophyceae; Prasiolales; Prasiolaceae
Description: tRNA-Ala
Source: RNAcentral